CCAUUUUAUGUAAAAAAAAAUUUUAGUGAACAGAAUCACUUCCUCUGUGAGUUUGCGGAAGGAAGAUAACAUUACACUGGAGCCCCAUGACAAAUUUCUUUUUCUAUUACAAUGGCUUUUUAUUUCAUUUUAUUUUUUCCCUUAACUACUCAUCUGAUCGCUACAGUGUCUUUUGCUGAAAUCCAGCCCAAGAAUCUGUCUGUACAAGCAGGGGAGCUUGUUGAGCUUGUUCAGAGAGAAAAGCUUCCAGAGUUUUUGCAGCUAAUCUGGAUGAUAACACCAUUUGGCACAAAUGAUGCAGAAACCAUUGUAACAUACAAUAAUGAAAGAAUCGAUCCUAGAGAUUCUUACAAGGACAGAGUGGUGUUUAAUACUACAACCUUCUCUCUAACACUGAAGAACAUGCAGAAGACAGACAGCGGACUCUACUGCACAACAACCAUAGGACAUGAAACUAAAGACUUUUGUCAGUACAAUGUUUUUGUUGUUGAAAACCAUGGAUCACCCACUAACAUUUUUCUGCCUUGGAUAUUGCUUACUUCUACAAUCAGCACAAUAAUAAUGUUCUAAAUUGUGCUAGUACUAAAAUAAAAACAAAAUUAGCAGGAUGAGACUCAAACAAGGAUAAUGAAGGAGAUGGAGAAGGAGAUCUUAUAAUAAAUUAAUACUGCUUUACUGUAGUAACAAUAAAUUAAAUAAAUAAAUAUUCUAUGAUUUGAUUAAUAUCAUUUUAAAUAUGAUGGUUUCAUUAUGAAUAUGGUCAUUAUCUCUAAGGUGGACACCCAACUUGAUGAUAUUGACCAUCUGAAUUUACCCAUUUUACCCAUUUUAUGCCAACAAAUGGAAAAGAUAGCCAGCUAUUUAUUACAAAUCUGUAACUUUUCCAAAAAAAAAAAAAAAAAAUAUUGCAGGUUUCCCGAACAUCCCCUGUCACUGGUCAGACAAACAGAUUGUCUUGUCCCAAACUCUCACCAUUAAUAGUUUUAAAUGACAAAACUGGACCUACUGUAAUUUUACUUUAAAAUAAAUAAAUAAACAGCCUAAUAACUGCA
Molecule: long non-coding RNA, 1052 nt
Organism: Ctenopharyngodon idella (grass carp)
Lineage: Eukaryota; Metazoa; Chordata; Actinopteri; Cypriniformes; Xenocyprididae
Exons: 3
Source: RefSeq, a predicted model, not a curated record